CCCCGUGUGGCUCAGCUGGUGGAGCAUCGUGCUUACAACGUCAGGGUUGUGGGUUCAAUUCCCACGGGGC
Molecule: transfer RNA, 70 nt
Filed under: Salmo salar (Atlantic salmon)
Lineage: Eukaryota; Metazoa; Chordata; Actinopteri; Salmoniformes; Salmonidae
Rfam family: tRNA
About the family: Transfer RNA (tRNA) molecules are approximately 80 nucleotides in length.
Source: Rfam by way of RNAcentral